CACUCCUUCCCCCGCUCUCCCUCUCCCGUUACAGAAGCCGCCCGACGCCACCAUCGCCACCACCUCGUCGAUCCGGUGGCCACCGGCCUCCCCUCGUCGCGCCAAGGCGUCCAGGAGCUUCUCCAUCGUCGUCUCCUUCGCCUACGUGCUCUGAAUCGAGCCGGGACGCCCGUACGCUCGCCAUCGAGCUCAUCUCCGUCGCGUACAUCGCCGAUGUUCGUCGUCGUUGCCGCGGCUCCGGUUCACCUCCGGCCUCCCCGACCUCGCCAUCGCGCUUGCGACCCCGAGAUCGGCGCUGAUGCCACUGAGUACGACUACGUCACCGUCGACCCGUCCUUCUCUGCCGAGCUUCCAGGAGCCAGAGGAUCCCGAGGAUGAUUCUACGUGGAGUUCGACUUCAAGGUGUAGUUAGGAGGUCCCAGGCAGGAGGCCUUGCCUUUUCGAUCGUUGCUACUUUUGUGCUAGCCUUCUUAAGGAAAACUUGUUUAACUUAUGUCUGUACUCAGAUAUUAUUGCUUCCACUAACUCUUGUGUCUUCGAGCAUUUGUAUUCGAGCCUUCGAGGCCCC
RNAcentral lists this ribosomal RNA (568 nucleotides) under Triticum aestivum (bread wheat). Its description in RNAcentral is "partial small subunit ribosomal RNA". Lineage: Eukaryota; Viridiplantae; Streptophyta; Magnoliopsida; Poales; Poaceae. The record is from RNAcentral.